AGAGUUUGAUCCUGGCUCAGGACGAACGCCGGCGGCGUGCCUAAUACAUGCAAGUCGAGCGGAUUCAUCCUUCGGGAUGAGUUAGCGGCGGACGGGUGAGUAACACGUAGGUAACCUGCCUAUAAGAUCGGGAUAACUAUCGGAAACGAUAGCUAAGACCGGAUAACUGGUUUUCUCGCAUGAGAGAAUUAUGAAACACGGAGCAAUCUGUGGCUUAUAGAUGGGCCUGCGGCGCAUUAGCUAGUUGGUAGGGUAAUGGCCUACCAAGGCGACGAUGCGUAGCCGACCUGAGAGGGUGAACGGCCACACUGGGACUGAGACACGGCCCAGACUCCUACGGGAGGCAGCAGUAGGGAAUCUUCCGCAAUGGACGCAAGUCUGACGGAGCAACGCCGCGUGAGUGAUGAAGGUUUUCGGAUCGUAAAGCUCUGUUGCCCUAGACGAACAGCAAGGAGAGUAACUGCCUUUUGUGUGACGGUAUAGGAGAAGAAAGCCCCGGCUAACUACGUGCCAGCAGCCGCGGUAAU
RNAcentral lists this ribosomal RNA (527 nucleotides) under soil bacterium RFS-I1. Its description in RNAcentral is "bacterial SSU rRNA". It matches the Rfam family "Bacterial small subunit ribosomal RNA", at positions 8 to 524 of the family's 1533-position model. The record is from RNAcentral.